GCUAUGGCUCAGUGGCAGAGUGCUUGCCUAGCAUGUGUGAGGUACUGGGUUCAAUUCUCAGCACUGCA
RNAcentral lists this transfer RNA (68 nucleotides) under Marmota monax (woodchuck). RNAcentral describes it as "tRNA.Ala". Lineage: Eukaryota; Metazoa; Chordata; Mammalia; Rodentia; Sciuridae. The record is from RNAcentral.